Molecule: ribosomal RNA, 419 nt
Filed under: bacterium
Lineage: Bacteria
Description: partial 16S ribosomal RNA
Rfam family: Bacterial small subunit ribosomal RNA
Source: RNAcentral
UGGGGGAUAUUGCACAAUGGGCGAAAGCCUGAUGCAGCGACGCCGCGUGGGGGAUGAAGGCCUUCGGGUUGUAAACUUCUUUUGCUCUGAACAAGGCAUGCUAAUGGGUGUGUUGAGUGUAGGGGUUGAUUAGCGCCGGCUAACUACGUGCCAGCAGCCGCGGUAAUACGUAGGGCGCGAGCGUUGUCCGGAAUUAUUGGGCGUAAAGGGCUUGUAGGUGGCUGGUUGCGUCUGUCGUGAAAGCUCAUGGCUUAACUGUGGGUUUGCGGUGGGUUUGGGCUGGCUUGAGUGCAGUAGGGGAGGCUGGAAUUCCUGGUGUAGCGGUGGAAUGCGCAGGUGUCAGGAGGAAUACCGGUGGCGGAGGCGGGUCUCUGGGCUGUUACUGACACUGAGGAGCGAAAGCAUGGGGAGCGAACAGG